This is a non-coding RNA of Triticum aestivum (bread wheat), 92 nucleotides long. The record is from Rfam. NCBI's taxonomy places the organism in Eukaryota, Viridiplantae, Streptophyta, Magnoliopsida, Poales, Poaceae.
AAUUUUUCACAUGUCUUUUGGGUAUGAAACCCAUUUGGGCGAGAGUAGUACUAGGAUGGGUGACCUCCUGGGAAGUCCUCGUGAAAGGGUUU